This is a non-coding RNA of Nicotiana tabacum (common tobacco), 862 nucleotides long. The record is from RefSeq and is a predicted model, not a curated record. NCBI's taxonomy places the organism in Eukaryota, Viridiplantae, Streptophyta, Magnoliopsida, Solanales, Solanaceae.
UUUAUUUAUCUUUUUUGAGUUUACUUUGCAUACAGAAAAAUAGGACAAAUUUUCUGCUACCGUUAUGUGAAAACAAAUUAAUUUAUUUUGGUAAAUAUAUAUAGUCCCUCUCCUCCCGUCCCAAUACCUUGGCCUUGUCUACCGGAGUGCAUUAGAAAUGGUUAAUUAUGAGACCACGAAAGCACGCUCAAUAAUGAUGUCUUCUCUAAAAUUGGCAUUUGCUUGAAAGGGACUGUCUAUGUUUGAGUUCAAUUUCAACCACAGCAAAGUAAAAACCCAUGAUUAAGUUUAAUAACUGCCUCAAAAAGUAAAAGACAACGUCCUUCAUUUCUACUUCUAAUUGCAUAAUUAUGUUAUGAAAUUCUGUGUUCUUUCUUUUCUUUCUUAUCCACUUUCUUUAAGUAUUUAACACCAACUGAAAUUUGAAUUCUACACACCAAAAUUCUACAAUUCUGCCUGUCCACCUUCUUCCACCUUAAUAUUUUAGAAUACAAACUCUUUUACUGUUCUACAUCUACCUUAACCUAGGAAGCCAUAUUUUUUCUGAAUAGCUUGCUAUUAUAUGCAUAGAGCUUCUAGCUUGGCAGCAAUGUCUUCAAAUCAAAGAGAAAGUUGUAUUGUUCUUGCCCACCCAAUAGCCAAAUCGUCCAAGGUUUUACUAGGCAAAUAGCAGAAGAUUGCAGCCUUGGAUUCUUGCUGCUUCGAAGGUUUGUGCAACUACUUCAAGAGAUUCAUUUGUUCAGAAGCAGGAGAGCUACAGCAAGCAGCAGAUGUCUCCAUUUUGCUGCAACCAUCUUGUUGACUUAGUUGAGAUGCAACAAACUUAUCGAGUACUCGCCAAUCGGUCACUUGAUCCACUGCU